This 9351-nucleotide long non-coding RNA is filed under the name Citrus maxima (pomelo). RNAcentral's name for it is "long non-coding RNA (CMAX_LNC003374)". The record is from RNAcentral. Lineage: Eukaryota; Viridiplantae; Streptophyta; Magnoliopsida; Sapindales; Rutaceae.
AAAAAAAAAAAAAAAAAAAGAGCGGUAAAUGAGUCAUUUAUUUGAUAUUUGAUCUUGAGAAUAUAAAAUAUACAUUUAUUAUAAGAAAAAUAUUUAAAAAUAAAAAGUACAAGAAAAAUAUAUUGUUAGUAUUUUUUUUAUUCACGUCGAAACUUAUAUUUCUUAUUUUUAGUAUUUAAUUUUUAUUUCAAUUUAUAUGAUUUUUUUAAAUAUAAAAAAAAUGUAUUUGAAAAGUAAGGAUAAUACUGUAAAAUUAUUAUAAUAACAAUAGCAAGUAAAUCAUAUAUAUUAAUUUCAAUCUGGUGAAACUGAUAGUCGCCUUCUAAGGCAAUGCUUCGUUUUAUAUAACCUUAUUUAUAUAAAGCUUUUGUUAGUGGAACUUUUGCAAGUAGAACUUUUAUCUAAAAACUUUAGGUGUGUGGUUGUCAGUGAAAACUUUUAUUUAAAAUUAUAAAAUUACUUCAAUAGACAAGUUCUUUAAAGUUAUUAUGAAAAGAAUGAAAUAGGAUUAUUAAAUAAGUUGAUGAUAAUUUUAAAAUUUUAACAUUUAAAAAAAAUUCAACAUCUACUUCCAAAAACUUAAAAUUUGAGUUUUUAUUAGUAGAUGCAAAAUAGCUUAUUUAAUUUUUAGAAACUUUACCAAAAAAAAAAAUAAUAACAAAAAUUUUAAUAAGAGCUUAUAGGACUAAGUAAGCACUUAUAACCAAUAAAUAAAUCAUACCAAUCAAACACUAAAACAAUAAUAAUAUUGUGACUUUAGCUUAUUAGUAAUAUUAACUUACAUACGAUUUGAAGAGAUACUGCAUUGUGGAACACAACCUUAGUUCAAUUAACACAUGUAACUUCCUCUUUAUGUGUUCUUUGCUCCUUGAGACUAUAAUUUUCAUCUGAAAUUUAAAAAAAAAAACUAUUAUUGUGUGAUUUUUCUUUUCUUUUUUGUUUUUAAUAGAGAGUUCAAAUAGGAAACAAGAAAAAAUGAAUCAAAAGAAAUCAAGUUGUCAUCAAUUCAAUUGCAAUACUUUUAGUGGAUACAUUAAAAAUGUAUGCUCACUAAGAUGAGGAUACACCCAACUCCUAAGUUAAUUUUUAGAACGAACAAUUACAGGUUGACCUUUUGUCACCUAUGGAGUUUAAGACCAUCUCCUGAAAUCAAUACGACUUACUGGCGUUCAGCAUUAUUAAUUGUAUGUGUUGGGACAUCAUCUGUCUACUCAAGCUCAAAAUCACAAUCAGGUUCUUCCUAUGAAAUUUUAUUAACUUUUGUGGGUAUAGAACUACAAUCACUUUCUCCUAGAAUUAAUACGGCUUGCUGACCUGUCGUUCAACAUUAUUGAUUUUAUGAGUUGGGAUGUGUAGAAUCACAGUUAGCUUCAUCCUAUAGAAUUUGAACAACUUUUUUUGGCUCCAACACUAGCAGGUAUCAAUGGUUGUGCUUUGAUUCAUUCGAUUCUUGCUUUGAUUCAUUCGAUUCUUGAUAAUGAUCUUUGUAAGCUAGUAACUUGAUUUGUGUGUAUUUAUUUUGAAAAAUUAUCAUGCAAGUAGUGGUUAUGUUAAAUCCAAAUGCACAUAUCACACAUAUAUUAGUUAGUUGUAUUAUAUUUGAUGUAUUAUAGAAUUUCUUCUUUUUUUAGCCACUACUCAGUAGAGUUACUUAGAACUCGAUCGGCCAAUUAAAAAAAAAAAACUAUUUAUUUAUUUAUUUAGUGUAACACUAACUCAAUCCCUCCAACCCACUCAUAGUUUCAAAUAUAUAGCACAGGCUGGUGCAAAGAGAGAUAAGAGUCAUAUAAACAGACUUGUAUACAUGAUGGCUAUUGAAACUUCAUUAUUCUCUCUCAUGGAUCUUGGAUUUAUCAUAUAUGGAACAUGAAAUUUUCUGUUUUUCUACCUUUCUUUUCCUAAAAAGAAAUUUUUAUUGAAAAAGCAUUACAAGAAAUCUCCUGACUCAAUUAGGAAAUUUUCCAACCAAAACUGAGUGAUUUGAGGAAGUUUGGCUAAAACAUGAACAGCUUGAUUUAAAUUCCUAGAAACAGGACGAACUUUAAAAACAUUACCAGAAAAUUUGACAUAUUUGAAUAACCUAAAUUACCCAAAAGCUCUCAUUUUCGCUGCCGCACUUGUUGCAAAUAGGCCUAUUACAUUCGUCAAAUUAGAUUCAAUAAUAAGAGGGAUCAAACAUACAACUCUAGUUGAGUUGUCAAGUGCUUCCUUAUUUUAUUUUUUUAAGUUCAGGGCUUUAGUUUAUCGUUGAGUGUGAAAGCUUAUUCAUUUAUUCUUUUUAUUUGAUUUCAAAUUUUUGAGCUAAACUUCAACUUUAAGACUGCUUGAGGCAAGUACCAUCAAACAUAAAGAGGUGAUUAAAAGUUACUUUAUGCAAUAAAAUGUUAUGUUAUGUUAUGUUAUUAUCCUUUUCAAACCUAUCUUCUUCUUGUCAAUUCCAUAGUUGGAUUCUUGGACUCGGGCAAAGUUUAUAUGCUAUCAAAAAUGAAUUAAAAAAAAAAAAGUCUCAAAAAAAUUGUUUUUGCAAGUUUAGGAGAAUAAUUUUAUAGAAAAACUUGUAUAGAAAAAUAAAGCUUAUAUGAAAAAAAUAAAAUAAAGCAUUCAUUGCAUCAAAUUAGUGAAUUCCAUUGCUAGGACAGCAAAAUAGCAGGUGUAAAUGGAAUGCACAGCAAAAGAGAAGAAUGCAUCCUACAUUUUCUAAUGAUGAUAUGCUGAGAAACAAGCCUUCAAUGAGAUUACAAGUAGCAAAAGUCCAGCAAAAGUGUAAUUGAUUUUUUCAAUCAAGAAGCAAACAGUGUAGCACAAUACAGCAGAUCAGUGCAUAACUUAAGAAGCAGAGAUCAAGCAAUAAGUGCUUCAUUCCUAAUUGAUUUUCUCAGGAUAUCACCAUCUACUAGGAAGCUAAGGGUAACAUUAUGAGUAGCUAAAAAUCCAGCUAAGUAAAUCACUUGUAGAUAAUCUGCUCUUCAUUCUAUUAUUAUAAAGGUCUUACUUUUCUUGAAACAAAAGUUAUGUGAUCAUAUAGGGACAUGAAAGUUAACCAAACCAAGAUCAGUUCCAAAUUGUGGUAGCGAGGAAAUUAAGCUUAUAAAUUCUGCAUUUCAUUACCAUUGUUAUUGCCGCCAACUUUCAAGCAAAUCAUAUGCUGCCAGUCAUUAUGAUUCAUAGAACAAAGGGUCAAAACAUCAAGAAGAUUCAAGAGUAGGUAUAUCUGCACUUCUCUAUAUCUAACUUUUGUGUGCAUAUGCUUGAAAUAAAUCAGUUGUUGAAUGACUUUUGUGCUCUUUGACUGGACUCUUACACUUGAUGAUAACUUGCUCUUGGAUCAUUUCUUUUUUUUCUUCUUUUGACUUGUAUCACAAGAGUUAGGCCAAUUUACAUACUGUUGUUAUCAUUUAAUACCAGAAUUUCCAAUUUGUUGACAACUAUUUCACAGCUAUCGUAUUGCAAUAAAUAUCUGAUUAAUACACACUCCCCUGAUUGAAUUUCCAGGUUUCACCGCGAGUUUGGCCUUUUAGCAGGUCAAGGGAUAUGCCACGGUUGUCAAAUACAACUGAUUAUUUCAGGAUAUGACAAUCAACUAGAAAGCAAAGCAAACUGUAACAUCAAGAUUAAAGCAAAUUCCAGCUAAGUAUCACUCAGAUAGCAGAUAUAUUAUGCUCUUUCUAUGACUAAAAAGGAAUCACUUAUCUCGAGACGAGAGAAUUUAACAAUAUGGGGACAAUAGAAACCAAAGGAAAAUUUAUUCUUCUUAUAUUCUACAUAUCAUUUCAAUCUGCCGGAAAUAAAAUAGAUCAUUCAUCUUGGUCAGUCAUUAUGCUCUGGCUACGUUUCUAAAAGCAUUUACUUUUCUUGGGACAAAAGUAAUUAUAGAGCAUAUAGGUACAUGACAAUGUGAAAGAGCGGUGAAGGGUUGUAAUCUUUUGUUCAAUUUUUUCUUAUAUUCGACAAAGAUAAGCAAGAUCAAUUACGAAUUCUGAAAGAAUAAGGAAGUCUUAUUCUUUGUUUCAUUACGAUUAUGCAAAACUCAGAUCAAUCAAAUCAUUCCACAGCAUAAGGUCAGAUUUGUAUUGCCAGCAAAAAUUAUGGCUAGGAUGUAAGUUAGAGUUAUGCCCCAACUGACUAAGGAUGCGUUUGGAAUUGAGGUGCUGUAACUUUUAAGCUACAACUGCUGUGAAAAAAAAACUGUAAUUAUAAAACAAAAGUUAAUAAUAUAUAGUAAAUAUAAAUUUUAAAUAAUAAUUUUGAUAAAAUUAUUAAAGAUAUAAUAAAUUUUAUAUUAUACAAGUGAAAAAUCAUAUCAACAUAUCUUAAAAGCUACAACAGCUAGUGUUUACCAAACACUUUAGUGCUGUAGCUUUUAAGCUACAGCUGCCCAACCUCAAUCCCAAACGCACCCUAAGUGACUGGCUAGUUCCACCUCUAACUCCAAGAAAUUUGUGUACUGAACAGAUUGGAUUCUUAUUUGAUCUGAGCUUUUAUCUCAGGACGAACAUAUCUCUAAUAGGAUGUCAAUGAAUGAAAGUAUUUCAAAGCAGUAAAUCUUUAAAACAUACGAAAAUAUGCAUGUAUAUCAUAGUAACAUUCAAUGACCAGGUGAGUUCAUGUGAAGAAAUAAUCUUAAUUCGUACUGAACGUGCUCCAUAUAUUGUAAAACGCGUAAAACCAGCGUCGAUUAAGUGUCAAGACAUGAACAUAAGGUUUAUUCUUAGUUCUAUCCUCCAAAGUGUGAAUAGAACAGAAUCUGUGGAUUGAUUUUCCAGCACUUUUCGAUUUUUCCCAGGUAUAUAUACCCUUGAUUGUCCCCUAUAUCUAACUUUGUGGACAGAUGCUUUUAACAUUUUGAUUGAGAAUAUGAAGUUGCGGGUGGCAGACACAAAGCUAGAGAUAAUGAAAAAUAAUUCAGCAUUAUCACAUGUCAAUAUGCUGAUGACAAGAAUGGAACAUCGCACGGUAAAAACAUCAACAUAAGCUCUAUUUGGAAUUGAUUACCGUUGUUGUGAAAAAAAAAAAAAGGUAUAACUUGUGAAAUAAAAGUCAAUAUUAUAUAAAAAAAAAUAUAAUUUUUAAAUAAUAAUUUUGAUAAAAUUAAUAAAGAUAUAAUAAAUUUUUCAUCAUUCAAGUAUAAAAUCAAAUUAAUUUAGUUUUCAAAUUAUAACAACUAGUAUUUACCAAACACUUUAGAAUUGUACCUUUUAAAGUAUAGCUGUCCAACCUCAAUUCUAAACAAGCUUAUAAUCUUGAAACUCUUUGAAGACACUUAAGUUAUUGGGCAAUUGAAGAUGCCACCCGAGUGUGGGAUACAUUGCAUAUGGUUAAUCAUUUGUCUCUAAUUCUGCUUAGCACCCACUUCUCAAAAAACAUGCCAUGUUCCUGAGGUGAAUUAUUCACCAGCUGCUUCACGAUUGUAUUUGAUUAAAUGUUAGUGACAUAAACGGCACCUUUACGGAGGUGCAGUUUUGAUGCCGUUUAUGUCACCCAUGUGUAGCCCGUUUAUAAAUCAUAUCAACUCCUUCACGAGGGUCAUUGAGAUGCUAAAAUUUGGCCUGGCUUUCUGGGAGCAGCUGCAGUGCCCUUACAAACUCCAAUCACCAACACCCAUUUUCACCUUAUUAUAUAUUAAUCUAGGGCACUAGAGAAUACGUUUCGAAAGCCACAACUCACAAGCACCAGGCUUCACAUUUUUUUAUAUUCUUACAAGCAUCACAACUUUUUUCAGUGCAUUCCCAAUCUUGAGCACAAAGAGGUCUUUGAGGCUCUAGACAGUACACUAGACACAAGAAAGCCCACAAAAUUGUGGUCAACAAAAGUGGGUACCAUUUGAAAAUAACUGUAUCGAAGCAUCAGAAGCCAAUUCACAUGCUGCAAGAACAAAUCUUUCUUAUCUGAAAAUACCGACCAGCAAUCAGAUAGGAGAAAAAUAACAUCAAAGCACAAUUGCCAAUAUCAACAAAGCUCAAUUUAGACCCAUUUGGCAAGCCCGGCUGUUAACCCAAGACAGAGUAUAAGACAAAACAGACCCCACAAGUUACGAUUUCGUAACCCAAUUUUCUAACCUUUUUUCAAAAGUCCGCAAAUGACAAAAAGGCCCUACACGGGAUCUAAAUUGAAUAAAGAGCAUGCACCUGAUUCAAAAAGUAAUCUAUUUUUCAAUUAACAUACAGUAGCUCAAAAGAAUCAAAUCAACAAAACCAAAAAGAGAAUUGAGUUUAAUCUAAAAGCUCUGAUUGAAGUCUACUAAUGUUGACAUAAAAAGAGGCCAUGAGAUCCCGAAUUUACAAAAGGGCGGAUUCAGUACCCAUCACUCCUCUUCUUCACUAAAAUUGCAAAAGACAACGUUCAACUGCUUCCAUCUUUUGCAAUGAAAAUCUAAAAAUUAAAAUAGACAAUGAAAUUAAAAUUACGGAAUAAAAACUUGCAACAAGACAAGCUCAAGGAUUAGAUGAAGCAUUUCGAUAGGGUGACAGGUGAUACUAAGAAUACACAUCUAAGCAUAGCAGUAUGACCACUGCUCAUCCUCAUUUGGAGAAGAAUCAACAACAGCAUCGUAAUCCUCCCCGUUGCAAUAGUAUAACCCACCACCAUUAUUGAUAGCAGUCAAAGAACAAGAGGAUGGCACCACAAGAUAUGGCAUGCUGUGAAAGUACUGAGCAAGGCUGCUAGCUAAAGCAGAAUUAUUAGCCAUGCCGUGAUCGUAAUCAUCAGUAUCACCAUCCCCACCAUUACUACCAUGCUCCUGUCCACAAUAUUCCUCAGCACGGUGUUUGAGGGUCUCAAACAUGAGCUCGGGCUCGUGCUGCAUCACCCGGAGGACAUCCCCACAAGACGGCCCAGGCAUGGCCCGAGUCACAGCAAAGCUGUGCGGACCAUCACUCUGCAAGACGCGUACCACGCUUGGACCACCAAACAAGUUGUGGACUCCACCGAGGGCCUCCUCAUAAGCCCCGCCCAAGAACAUCCCCAAAUAAUAAGGCCCACGCUCACCACAACCACCACCAACCAUUUCAUGUAACGGCAAGCUCGUACCACCACCAAUGAACUUAUCAAUCUUACCAUCACUAUCACAAGUCAAAUCCGAUAAAACCCCCCUCACUCCAGGCCUCUCAUCCAAAUGAUGAAUUGGAACAAUAGGAAACAACUGACCAAUGGCCCAAUAAUCCGGAAUUGAAGUGAAAAUAGAUAGAUUCACAUGAUAAGUACGAACAGGAUCAGAAGCACCUAUUUCCAUAGCUACAAAAUCACACAACCCAUCAACAGUAGCUAAUUGUUCAAUACCUAAAGUCCCAUCCUUAAACUGCUCAAUGCAUCUUUGUUUCAAUUGAUCAGCAUAGAACAAACAGGUCUCAAACUCACCUCUCAGAGCAGCAGUAGUCAUCUUUGUAUAAUCCGAACGAGCAUCCUCGGUCAACCCUUCUACCAAAUACUGCAAACCGAGAGGACUCAUAGCAACCGGGGCGGCACGGGAGACACUAGCCGAAACAGCUUCAAAUAUCAAAAUGGAAUGAUGAGACACAAUAGCACGACCGCUCUCGCUGCAAAGAACAGGAUGCUUAACAUUCUUCCGGUCACAAACAUAGCGAAUUGCUUGAACAACGGCAGAGGCAUAUUCUUCGAGGGUAUAAGCGACUGAGAGAUCCGAAUCAGCCGAUUUGGAUCCGUCAUAAUCGAUACCCAACCCGCCCCCGAUGUCAAUGACUUGCAUAUUAGCACCAAGACGGACUAAUUCACAAUAAAUCUGAGCAGCUUCACCAACACCAUCGGUAAGCAAAGCCGUUGAUGGGAUCUGGGAUCCGAUAUGAAAAUGCAACAGCUGGAAGCAAUCAAGCAUUUCAGCCACCUCAAGUUUCUUCACAACCCGCAGAAUCUGGGUGGUUGUUAACCCAAAUUUGCCUUUCUCCCCGGAGGUCGACCCGAAAUGACCCGAAUGUUUGGUUCUCAACUUGGCCCGAGCGCCAAUCACGGGUCGGACAUUCAGCUUCUUGCUUAUCUCAAUAACCAAAUCGACCUCCUCUUCUUGCUCAAGAACAAUCACUGCGUUCAAAUCUAGCUUCCUCGCCAGCAAAGCGAGAGUGAUGUAUUCAGCAUCUUUGAAUCCAUUACAAACGAGCAAAGCUUCAGGGCUUCCUUUGCACAAGCAACUCAUAGCCAACAACAGCUCCGGUUUCGACCCGGCUUCCAACCCGAAGCGGAACUGCGACCCGAAUUUCACAAUAUCCUCCACAACGAACCGGUCCUGGUUACAUUUCACGGGGAACACCCCCUGAUAACGGGCCUCGUAGCCUUGCGUCUGGAUAGCGAAUUCAAAGGCUGACUGAAGGGACUCAAGGCGGUCCCUGAGCACGUCCGGCAGCCGGACGAUGAGAGGGAGCUGCAACCCGAGCCCACCGACUGAUUUCGGAUCCGAAACCUUCUUAACAAUCUUGAGCAGGUCAAUCUCCUGGUGGGCCAGCGUGGCGUGGCCGUACGGACGGACGGAGACGUUGCCGGAUGGGUUGACGGCGAAGUAGGGCGCACCCCAGGAGUCGAUUUUGUACAACGAUGCCGAGUGAGACGGCGACCAAUGUGAAGCGUCCACGUCGGCGGCAACAGAACCAGCCGAGGCGGAGGUAGGGGACAUAGGUGUGGGUGGUGGUGCGCCGGAGAUAAAAGAAAGCGGCAGCGGCGGCGGCGCGGGGAGGGAGCCGAGUGGGGAGUUGGCGUAGGCAGGAGGCGCUACGGCAGCGUCUACGCAACACCCAAGGGCCGGCAUCCUCUUUCCGCGGAGACGAGUAAAAGUGCGGCCUUGUUUUUAAAGAAUUAAAGAAAAAAAAAAGAAAAAGUAAAAACGAGGAGGGGGGGUUAGUUUAGAAGAUGAAUUUUUUUCUCAAGGUCUGUAAAGGUGGGGGCUUUAGAACCCGCCGAGGCCGAGGCCCCGGCUACCCCCUCAAAAGGAGACAGUAGAAGAUCUAUUACAAUUGAAAGACAGCCCCGCCUCUUUAACUACUUUUGUAAGCAACCCACAUCCAACCCUCAGAAGAAAAAUAAAAGACAACGAAGAUUUUUACGAAUCUGAAAAUUCAAAAGGCCCUGCACAGAUCUGAGAAACGGAAAUGAGACCAAACGAAUAAAAGAUAAGAGAAGAGAGGAGGAGAAGCGUGCGAGGGAAAUGAGAGGAGAGUGAGAAAAGGGAUCUGGGGGGGUGGAAAUGAAAAGAGUGUCGGGGGAGGGAGUUCAGGAGAUUUUCCCGGAAAGUGAGGGAAAAUAGGAAAGAGAGAUGCCAAGAGUUUCUGUUAGCUAAUAGAAGCUAGGGUUUUGGGUGGUUUUUAUCUUCAAACAAGAAGAUGUCUUACGAAGGUGGAACUGGGCGAGAUU